This 119-nucleotide ribosomal RNA is filed under the name Pteropus alecto (black flying fox). The record is from RNAcentral. Lineage: Eukaryota; Metazoa; Chordata; Mammalia; Chiroptera; Pteropodidae.
GGCUACAGCCAUGCCACCCUGAACAAGCCCAAUCCCGUUUGAUUUCGGAAGAUAAGCAGGGUCAGUCCUGGUUAGUACUUGGAUGGGAGACCACCUAGGAAGACCAGGUGCUAUAGGCA